Molecule: ribosomal RNA, 1243 nt
Filed under: metagenome
Description: bacterial LSU rRNA
Rfam family: Bacterial large subunit ribosomal RNA
Source: RNAcentral
UGAAUACGAGACGCUACGGCGUCGAAGCAGUCUAUGUCAUACUUCCAAGAAAAGCUCGCAAUGUCAUAAACAAAUAAUGCCUGUACCAUAACCGACACAGGUGGGUAGGUAGAGUAUACUAAGGGGCGCGAGAUAACUCUCUCUAAGGAACUCGGCAAAAUGACUCCGUAACUUCGGGAGAAGGAGUGCCUUAUUUAUAAGGUUGCAAUAACAAGAUCCAAGCAACUGUUUAUCAAAAACACAGGUCUCCGCUAAGUCGUAAGACGAUGUAUGGGGGCUGACGCCUGCCCAGUGCCAGAAGGUUAAAGAAGUUGGUUAGCAUUCGCGAAGCUGAUAACUGAAGCCCUGGUGAACGGCGGCCGUAACAAUAACGGUCCUAAGGUAGCGAAAUUCCUUGUCGGGUAAGUUCCGACCCGCACGAAAGGCGUAAUGAUUUGGAUACUGUCUCGGAGAGGGGCUCGGUGAAAUAGACUUGUCUGUGAAGAUGCGGACUACCUGCACCUGGACAGAAAGACCCUAUGAAGCUUUACUGUAACUUGAAAUUGAAAUUGGACUUUAUUUGCGCAGCAUAGGUGGGAGGCGUUGAGAGUAUUCUUGCGGGAAUAUUGGAGCCAUCAGUGAGAUACCACUCUUGUAAUGUUAGAUUUCUAACUUUGGAUCAUUAUCUGGUCAAAGAACAGUUUCAGGCGGGCAGUUUGACUGGGGCGGUCGCCUCCCAAAUGGUAACGGAGGCGUACAAAGGUUUCCUCUGAACGGGUAGAAAUCGUAUCUAGAGUGUAAAGGCAUAAGGAAGCUUGACUGUGAGACCUACAAGUCGAGCAGGGACGAAAGUCGGUCUUAGUGAUCUGACGGUGCUGAGUGGAAAGGCCGUCACUCAACGGAUAAAAGUUACUCUAGGAUAACAGGCUGAUCUCCCCCAAGAGUUCACAUCGACGGGGAGGUUUGGCACCUCGAUGUCGGCUCAUCGCAUCCUGGGGCGGUAGUACGUCCCAAGGGUUGGGCUGUUCGCCCAUGAAAGCGGUACGCGAGCUGGGUUCAGAACGUCGUGAGACAGUUCGGUCCAUAUCCGGUGUAGGCGUUAGAAUAUUGAGAGGAGCCUUCUUUAGUACGAGAGGACCGAGAAGGACAUACCUCUGGUGUACCAGUUAUCGUGCCAACGGUAAACGCUGGGUAGCUAUGUAUGGAGAGGAUAACCGCUGAAAGCAUCUAAGUGGGAAGCCCACCUCAAGAUAAGUAUUCUCAC